ACCAUUGGCAUGCAGGCUAUAUAUGCUCCAAUACAAUCUGUGGAAAAGUAUGCAGUAGGCAUGGAUGGGGGCAGAGGGAGGAGAGGUGGAGGACAGAAGCUUCAAGAAAGUCUGCAGUGCCCCCACCCACCCACCUCCCUGAUGUCAUUUCAUCUGAUAGCCACAGUAUUAGGAUAACAAAGCUUUAGGCAAAAUGCUUAACACUGACAGGAAAAGUAAUUGGCAAAGCCUGGUGACAAUGUGUCCCCCCUCUUUAAAAAAUAUCAAAGAUAUACCAGUGGUCCCUCUUUUUUUCAAAACAAAAAAAGGGUAUUCAUAUUUUUGUUGCUAUAAUAUUCUAUUUAAUCCUGCUUGCAUACUCAGUCUCAUAAUGCUUUAGGAAGGGUAAAGUUUGUUUCCUUUUUUUUUACUUUGCUGAGCUUGUUCUCUCCUGAGCCAUCAUUGCCUGAUGCAUUUUUUCCCUCUCCGUGAUUUGCCAAAGCACACAAGCUGAUAAGUGAGAUACAUAAGAUUGAAAAAAGAAAGAAAUUAAAAGCCACCUUAAAAGACUAUAGUUAUUCCCUCCAACAACGUGUGCAUGCGUACAGCCACACACCCAAAGCACAAAAUUUAAGGAGAGUGGUUCUUUAAAAAGAAUCAAGAAAAAAGGAAGAAAACCUGUGUGCUUGAUUCUAACUCACUUUCUUUAUUUGUUCAAUCAUUCAGUACAAACUCAUCAGCAUUCAGAAAAUCAGAAUUCAUCUACAGCUUAGAUAUGCACAGAGCCUAUUGACAAUGAUGGACCUGCUUGAAACAUGAGGGGGGAAGCUGUUGAUAUGCUGAGGAGCACCGUGAAGUGAAGAAGUAUCCAAGGACAGUGAGCUGAACAUCAUGCUAAGAUCUGGAUGUUGUGUCCUUCCAUCUGAACAUUAGCUACUGAGGCACCAGCCAUCAAACACGGGGCAGUCAGUGUUCUAAGUACCUGACAGCUUUGAGAAGGACUAACAACAUAAGAAAAUAUGCAAAAAUGUCUCUUAGAAAGGUCCUAAUGUCAUAUUCCUACAGAAGGGCAUGGUGUAGUUCCAUUCAUGGAGAAAAACACUUCAGCCUAAAUGCUGACAAGAAAUCAAAAUACUGUUGGACGCAUAGUGACAGACUGAGGACUGUUAACAUGUCUUUGUUAUGUAUGUUGUUACUUGAUUUCAUUGUUGUUUCCCACUUUGAAUGCUAUUUAGUAGCACCAUCACCAACUCUAUGAGAUCCAUGUUGGGUUGAAAUCAUCCAGUGCAUUUCUGAAGGUCAAGGGAAGACACUGAUUUUUAUGAAAUGUCCUAGAGAAUUGGGAAAUAUUAAUAUGUGAUAGAGAUUACUGAAGUUGCAUCUACACUGUAAAAUUAAUGCAGUUUGACACCACUUUCAUUGCCAUAGAUCGAUGUUAUCAACAUUUAUAAUAAACAUGCAGAUGCAUUGAUCAUUGGGUUCAGUGUCAUAAUUCUUACAUAAUCCAUAUAGAGACACAGAAAAUAAGAACAGUAAUUAUUUAAUAUGUAACAAUUAGGUUAAACAUUUCCUUUGAUUCUGGCGCCAUACACAGUAUAAUGUAACACUUGAGUCAAAACAAAAUAACACCUCUCCCUGAACAGCUUCCACACUCUCAGUUCCCAGCAAACCAAAAUCCACUCUCGCCCACUCUUCCUAUGUAUUCAUAGCCCUUAUAAUUUCUCUUUGACUAACCAGUCCUAACUCAUCUCCUCUCAAACUUUAACUUAUUCCAAUCUUCUCUUACCCCAUCUCUAUUU
Molecule: non-coding RNA, 1778 nt
Organism: Anolis sagrei ordinatus
Lineage: Eukaryota; Metazoa; Chordata; Lepidosauria; Squamata; Anolidae
Source: RefSeq, a predicted model, not a curated record